Molecule: ribosomal RNA, 253 nt
Filed under: uncultured bacterium
Lineage: Bacteria
Description: partial 16S ribosomal RNA
Rfam family: Bacterial small subunit ribosomal RNA
Source: RNAcentral
GACGAACCGUGCGAACGUUGUUCGGAAUCACUGGGCUUAAAGGGCGCGUAGGCGGUCUGCCAAGUCUGGGGUGAAAUCCUCCGGCUCAACCGGAGAACGGCCUCGGAUACUGGCGGUCUCGAGGGAGGUAGGGGCGUGCGGAACUAAGGGUGGAGCGGUGAAAUGCGUUGAUAUCCUUAGGAACUCCGGUGGCGAAGGCGGGUCUCUGGGCCGAUACUGACGCUGAGGAGCGAAAGCGUGGGGAGCGAACAGG